Molecule: ribosomal RNA, 485 nt
Filed under: uncultured bacterium
Lineage: Bacteria
Description: bacterial SSU rRNA
Rfam family: Bacterial small subunit ribosomal RNA
Source: RNAcentral
GACGAACGCUGGCGGCGUGCCUAACACAUGCAAGUCGAGCGAUGAAGCCCUUCGGGUGGAUUAGCGGCGGACGGGUGAGUAACACGUGGGUAACCUGCCUCAAAGUGGGGGAUAGCCUUCCGAAAGGAAGAUUAAUACCGCAUAAUCCAUAAGUUCCGCAUGGAACAUAUGGUAAAGAUUUAUUGCUUUGAGAUGGACCCGCGGCGCAUUAGCUAGUUGGUGAGGUAACGGCUCACCAAGGCCACGAUGCGUAGCCGACCUGAGAGGGUGAUCGGCCACAUUGGAACUGAGACACGGUCCAGACUCCUACGGGAGGCAGCAGUGGGGAAUAUUGCACAAUGGGCGAAAGCCUGAUGCAGCAACGCCGCGUGAGUGAUGAAGGCCUCGGUUGUAAAGCUCUGUCUUUGGGACGAGUAAUGACGGUACCCGGAGAACGAAGACCCCGGCUAACUUCGUGCCAGCAGCCGCGGUAACUACGUCUACUG